Molecule: ribosomal RNA, 480 nt
Filed under: Triticum aestivum (bread wheat)
Lineage: Eukaryota; Viridiplantae; Streptophyta; Magnoliopsida; Poales; Poaceae
Description: partial small subunit ribosomal RNA
Source: RNAcentral
AUGGAGUUGGUGAGCUGGAAUGUUCGUGGUCUGAACAAUCUAGCUAGGAGGAAGGCGUUGAGAGAGAUAGUUGAUUCCACUAGGGCUAGUAUAUGGUGUAUCCAAGAAUCGAAGAUGGAUGUAGUUGACCAAUUUACCAUAAUGCAAUGCUUCGGUCCGGUGUAUGAUGGCUUCUUUUACUUAGCGUCCUCGGGUAUGAGGGGAGGUAUCAUAUUAGUGUGGGACUCGUCGGUGGCUGGUAUAUCUAACUGUGUUCGAGACACUAACUUUAUAUCGGCCUAUGUGGUGCCGUGUGAAGGUGCCCCAUGGUGGCUGUCGAUGGUUUACGAGCCACAGGAGGACCAUGAAAAAAAAUCAACUUCAUGGAGGAGUUGGCUGCGCGGUGCCUUCUUUGUCCUGGCCCGUGGCUUGUCAUUGGAGACUUUAACCUCAUUCUACAGGCUUUCGACAAAAGUAACACAAUUCUUGACAAGAGAAUGA